Molecule: long non-coding RNA, 744 nt
Filed under: Cimex lectularius (bed bug)
Lineage: Eukaryota; Metazoa; Arthropoda; Insecta; Hemiptera; Cimicidae
Description: uncharacterized LOC106667671, transcript variant X8
Source: RNAcentral
AGUGAUAGGACUAUUUUUGCGAAGAGAAAAAGAGAUAUAACCUGGCAGGGAAGGGAAUUGUAGCAUCGACAGCCAAUGACCACUCCUUAAAAGAAGGAAUCGACAGACUGAACUAAGGAACUAGGAAAGCACAGUAAGCCAGAAGAAUUGUUGGUGAGAUUGUUCGCCGUUCUUUCGCCUUCAAGAUCGGGCAUCACACAACAAGGAAAUAUCAGGUUGAAAUUGCUAUACCUGACAUUAUGGAAACUACAAUGCAAGUAGCUUUUGUAGUGGAAAGAAAUUAUCAGAGAAGAAAUAAAGCUUGAGAAAUGAUUAGACCCUCGAGACACUAGAUACAACAUAUACAACAUAGCCCAACCUCGAUGGCUGGAUGGAGAAGUCCGAGAUCCAGACUACCAACACCCGAGGACUCGAGAAGUGAUAGGCUCAACUGUAUGUGUGUAAAUAAGUACAUACAUGUGCGGAAUUGUGCUUAUAUAAGUCCAAAUAUCCAACUUACUGUGUCUUUCUAUGGAUAUUGUCUUCUCAUUCCAAAAAUCUACUGUACACUUAGGUCAUAUAUGUUGCGCUCUAACCCUGUAUCAUUUUCUUUCUUCGAAUUUCUUUCCUUUAAUGGUUGAAAUUGCUUUACCUGACAUUAUGGAAACUACAAUGCAAGUAGCUUUUGUAGUGGAAAGAAAUUAUCGGAGAAGAAAUGAAGCUUGAGAAAUGAUUAGACCCUCGAGACACUAGAUACAACAUUGA